Molecule: ribosomal RNA, 584 nt
Filed under: uncultured bacterium
Lineage: Bacteria
Description: bacterial SSU rRNA
Rfam family: Bacterial small subunit ribosomal RNA
Source: RNAcentral
CCUACGGGAGGCAGCAGUGGGGAAUUUUGGACAAUGGGGGCAACCCUGAUCCAGCCAUGCCGCGUGAGUGAAGAAGGCCUUCGGGUUGUAAAGCUCUUUCGGCCGGAACGAAAUCGCGCACGUGAAUAACGUGCGUGGAUGACGGUACCGGAGUAAGAAGCACCGGCUAACUACGUGCCAGCAGCCGCGGUAAUACGUAGGGUGCGAGCGUUAAUCGGAAUUACUGGGCGUAAAGCGUGCGCAGGCGGUUCGCUAAGUCAGACGUGAAAGCCCCGGGCUUAACCUGGGAACGGCGUUUGAAACUGGCGGGCUCGAGUACGGCAGAGGGGGGUGGAAUUCCACGUGUAGCAGUGAAAUGCGUAGAUAUGUGGAGGAACACCGAUGGCGAAGGCAGCCCCCUGGGCCGAUACUGACGCUCAUGCACGAAAGCGUGGGGAGCGAACAGGAUUAGAUACCCUGGUAGUCCACGCCCUAAACUAUGUCAACUAGUUGUCGGGGAAGCAAUUCCUUGGUAACGCAGCUAACGCGUGAAGUUGACCGCCUGGGGAUACGGUCGCAAGAUUAAAACUCAAAUGAAUUGACGG